AACGAACGCUGGCGGCAUGCCUUACACAUGCAAGUCGAACGGCAGCGCGGGGCAACCUGGCGGCGAGUGGCGAACGGGUGAGUAAUAUAUCGGAACAUACCCUAGAGGUGGGGGAUAACGUAGCGAAAGUUACGCUAAUACCGCAUACGCACUAAGGUGGAAAGUGGGGGAUUCGCAAGAACCUCAUGCUCAUGGAGUGGCCGAUAUCUGAUUAGCUAGUUGGUGAGGUAAAGGCUCACCAAGGCAACGAUCAGUAGCUGGUUUGAGAGAACGACCAGCCACACUGGAACUGAGACACGGUCCAGACUCCUACGGGAGGCAGCAGUGGGGAAUUUUGGACAAUGGGGGCAACCCUGAUCCAGCAAUGCCGCGUGAGUGAAGAAGGCCUUCGGGUU
Molecule: ribosomal RNA, 395 nt
Filed under: uncultured bacterium
Lineage: Bacteria
Description: bacterial SSU rRNA
Rfam family: Bacterial small subunit ribosomal RNA
Source: RNAcentral